RNAcentral lists this long non-coding RNA (605 nucleotides) under Elaeis guineensis (African oil palm). RNAcentral's name for it is "long non-coding RNA (EGUI_LNC042708)". The record is from RNAcentral. Lineage: Eukaryota; Viridiplantae; Streptophyta; Magnoliopsida; Arecales; Arecaceae.
ACAGACUUCAUCCGGACUCCUGCGGGAGUCGGACUCUGCCCACAACCCCAACUGCAAGUAGACUUCGUCCGGACUUCUACGGGUGCCGGACCUCGCUACCGACUCCAACCAAGCUCCGACCGAUGAGUCUGGACCCCCUGGCGGGCCACAAUAACGGACAACACUGCUCCACUCCCUGCGGCGGACCCUACGCGACCCCAUUACUCUCUGACAGGCUGUAUUAACGGCCAUGAUUCUGCUUCACUCCCUACGACGGAUCCUGUGCGAUUCCACCACCCCCAGAUGAGUCACGACAGCGGACGCCGCUCCACUCCCCGUAACUGAUCCCGUGUGGCAAGCCACGGCAAUAGCCAUGACCCCGCUCCACUACUCUCCGCAAUAAAUUCCUCCUGACUCUGGGUGGCCCACUACCAGACGGUUACAGGCGUCGCUAUCAAUCUGUUGCCCUCUCCGUCUAUAAAAGGGAAACCCCAGAUACGUUAUUCCAUAAGCUCUCAUCUUUCAUCUAAAAACUCUGUUAAAUUCUCCAUUCGAGCACUCCAUUCUUGUUGAGGCAGAGAACAGACUUGAGCAUCGGAGGGUCUUGCCGGAGCAACCCCACCUCC